UAGAGUUUGAUCCUGGCUCAGGACGAACGCUGGCGGCGUGCUUAACACAUGCAAGUCGAACGAUGAAGCCAGCUUGCUGGUGGAUUAGUGGCGAACGGGUGAGUAACACGUGGGCAACCUGCCCUCAGCUCUGGGAUAACUCCAAGAAAUUGGUGCUAAUACCGGAUAUUCAUUCAGCCUCGCAUGGGGUUGUGUGGAAAGUUUUUCGGCUGGGGAUGGGCCCGCGGCCUAUCAGCUUGUUGGUGGGGUGAUGGCCUACCAAGGCGACGACGGGUAGCCGGCCUGAGAGGGUGACCGGCCACACUGGGACUGAGACACGGCCCAGACUCCUACGGGAGGCAGCA
This 344-nucleotide ribosomal RNA is filed under the name uncultured Arcobacter sp. FR049. Its description in RNAcentral is "bacterial SSU rRNA". It matches the Rfam family "Bacterial small subunit ribosomal RNA", at positions 1 to 353 of the family's 1533-position model. Lineage: Bacteria; Pseudomonadati; Campylobacterota; Epsilonproteobacteria; Campylobacterales; Arcobacteraceae. The record is from RNAcentral.